GGGACAGCGUCUGCGUCCCCUCGCGGGCAGGCGGGACGCGGCGCAGCCUCGCGCGUGGGCCGCACGGGCGUCCGGGUGACCCGCCUCUGUGGGUGUCACCGCCUGCCGGCCAGCUCGCGUGGGCGUGUCUUCCCGGUCCACGAGUGUUCCCUCUAUCACUGUCGGCUUUCGUCCGGGACGACCGUUUCAGAAAUGGAGCCAUGGAGGUGAUAAGUAUGAUGCUUGUAUAAUACAUUUGGAUGUUUUCCACUAAGUUCACUUCCUAACUAUGGAGUUCUUCCAAAUGUUGGCUGACAUUUGCCCUAGCACCAAGGCUCAUCUGCAAUGCACGGUUCAUAACGGAGCUGCUGUACUGGCUAUUGGAAGGAGGAGAUUCAGAAGACAGGGAGAUAGAAGCAGCAUGGGACCAGGAAGAGUCAAGAAACUGAUAAUUUGAAUAAUGAUUUGGAAUGGAAAGAUCCCCUUCUUGCAAUUGUCUAGACUCUAUCCUAAUACCCAGAGAAGUUCAUAUUGUCUGCAGUGGACUUGGAAGCAUAAUGAGGGUUUCUGGACUGGACAUAGAGGGCAUCACAAAAUCAGUGUCAGGCUCACAGCAUCUCAGAGGAGGAUCACUGAGGUCCCCUGCCUGGUUCAGCUCCUGUUGACAUCGAGGAGAAAGGCUCUGCCUGUAAGUUCCAGCCACCAAGCAUCUGCUAUAGCUUUUGCACAGCUCCUAAAGCUGCCACGCUGGUCAUGCAGUAGAAGCAGAAAGAUGGCUCUGCAGCACAGACUACGUCAUACUAAGUUUGUCUGAGCUGGCCCGUGUGACACAACCUCCAGCAAGUAGACUCUGUCCCUGGACAGAGUUUCUGCCAGAUUCACCCACUGGAAAUAAUUUCCUAUGUGAAGUGGAUGUCAGCGGCCCUCUACUGAAGCGAAUGUCACCAGCCUGCAAAUGUCCAACAGGGAAUGGCAUUUGUCAUGCUGCUACUGUGGGUGUUUGAUGAUGUCAAUAAAGAAACAUCUACACCUUUGUUUAAAGCUCUCAGAGACUUGAAGGAUUGCUGCCUGUCAAGAAGAAACCAGGGUGAAGCACACGCUGUUGCUAUUUCGCUGAACCACUCCACAGAUGGUCCAUGGCUGCUGAGCGGAGUGAACCUCAGGAUAGACAGCACUGGACCCUACAAUGGCACCCUCACCAGCAGAUGAGGUGUGAGUGGAUCAUUCCUGGUAAUGGGUUUCCCUUCAUCUCUCUUCAUUAAAUUCCAAGCUGUUACCUAGGCUACAUCUCACUACAUCUAAUUAAGGUACUAAUCAACUUUGUUUUGAAUGGAAAGGGAAAAAAUAUGUUGAUGCUCCUGCUGGCAGAAUAGGAAACAUGCCUACUGUGGAGUAUCUUUUUGCAUCAUGGAGAAAAUUUAAUCUCUGUAGUUCUCAAAAGGGAAUAAUUAUUUUGCGGUUGGUUUCUUGCUUGUAUGGCUUCAGGUAUCCUUUAUAAGUUUCCAAGUGACUCUUUGUUUCAGAAAGAUUCUCUCCAGAAGCCAUUCAUAAAGCACUUGUCAAAUCCCUUAAUAAAGCAUUGGAAGCCAAGUUCACUAGGCUUGAAACACAUAAUCAGUUGGCAAUAGACUGAUGUCCAGCCCCUGAAUUUUUAACUGCUGCAGCACUGAGAGGCCCAGCAAUGAAAGGGUGAUUGCCCACUCCAAGUCUCCCAAUCUGAGAAGAGCCACCAUGCCAUAGUCCCGCUCUGUCCUGCAGCUGUCUGUGUAUCUCCAAGCAUCCAUAUGUGUGAUCCAUCCACACAACAAUGCCCUCUGGUGACAUAUCGGUCAUGACAACCAUGAGAGCCAUGAGCAUGUCACAGGCACUGUGCUGUUACUCUAAGUCCAAUGACUUAAUGACUUUUGUUCCAGUGACAACCAUUUGAAAUGGGAAGAAUCAUCCCGCCUUACACAUUUCAAAAGAAGACUUUGGGUAAAUUAUGUAUCUUGUCUGUGGCCACACAGCUACUAACUGGCGAAGUAAGGAUUUCUAUCUUCUUCUUACCCAAGCCCCCAGCCAUCAGCUGUGUCAUUUCUAUUGAGACGCUGGCUUCCCUAAAGCCACUGUUAGAGUCUGCAAAACAUGGGCCACAGACAGCUUUUAAAUAUGGGAUGAUAAUUCUUGCCUACUGAGAUUCUUUUUAAAAACCCAGAGGAAGAGUAUAUUUAUAUAUUUAUUUAACAUUCAUGUGCAAUGUUUACAUUUACAAAGUGUUUUACAGUAUAAUAGAACGGGCACAAAUUUUUUUCUGGGCAUGUAAUUGUCUUUUCUUUCAUAUUCAUUUAUUCCUUUGAUUUAUAUAAUAUGUUCUCCAUGUGGUCUUCUGAGAUCAUGUACAAUUGUAACAAAUUCAGAAUAAUAUUAAUAAAAGAUUAUUUUGUAUCACUCAUAGGGAAAACUGAUUAAAGCCAUGCAUGUCUCUGCUCUUCAUAAAUAUUAUGCAGAAAAACUUUGUAUCAUCCCCAGAAUAUUGUCUGUAACAUCAGCUGUGCUAAAUUUUAAAAUAUACUUGGCUCUCAGUUAUCA
Chinchilla lanigera (long-tailed chinchilla) is the source of this 2547-nucleotide long non-coding RNA. RefSeq lists it as uncharacterized. The record is from RefSeq and is a predicted model, not a curated record. The transcript is spliced from 8 exons. Lineage: Eukaryota; Metazoa; Chordata; Mammalia; Rodentia; Chinchillidae.